UGCACCCCGCUGACGAGCGGCGGACGGGUGAGUAAUGCUUAGGAAUCUGCCCAGUAGUGGGGGACAACAGUCGGAAACGGCUGCUAAUACCGCAUACGCCCUACGGGGGAAAGCAGGGGAUCUUCGGACCUUGCGCUAUUGGAUGAGCCUAAGUCGGAUUAGCUAGUUGGUGGGGUAAAGGCCUACCAAGGCGACGAUCCGUAGCUGGUCUGAGAGGAUGAUCAGCCACAUCGGGACUGAGACACGGCCCGAACUCCUACGGGAGGCAGCAGUGGGGAAUAUUGGACAAUGGGGGCAACCCUGAUCCAGCCAUGCCGCGUGUGUGAAGAAGGCUUUCGGGUUGUAAAGCACUUUCAGCGAGGAGGAAGGCCUUAAAGUUAAUACCUUUAAGGAUUGACGUUACUCGCAGAAGAAGCACCGGCUAACUCCGUGCCAGCAGCCGCGGUAAUACGGAGGGUGCAAGCGUUAAUCGGAAUUACUGGGCGUAAAGCGCGCGUAGGUGGUUUGGUAAGCGAGAUGUGAAAGCCCCGGGCUUAACCUGGGAACGGCAUUUCGAACUGUCAGACUAGAGUGUGGUAGAGGGUAGUGGAAUUUCCUGUGU
This 601-nucleotide ribosomal RNA is filed under the name Marinobacter vinifirmus. Its description in RNAcentral is "bacterial SSU rRNA". It matches the Rfam family "Bacterial small subunit ribosomal RNA", at positions 79 to 676 of the family's 1533-position model. The record is from RNAcentral. Lineage: Bacteria; Pseudomonadati; Pseudomonadota; Gammaproteobacteria; Pseudomonadales; Marinobacteraceae.